AGGAUAUUUUCAAUCCACAGUUGGUUGCAGAACCUGCAGAUACAGAGGACUGACUAUACUUUCAAGAUUCAAGUGGUCAGAGCUGAGUGACUGGAGGCUGCACUGGUGGUGAUGGAAGGAGAUAAGAGAAUAAUGACCUAAAACUUAACAUUGGUCCCUGCAAUCAAAGUUUUAAUAUGAAAAACCAAGUACAUGGCUCUGAAAUUCCAGAAUUCCUUGGUGUGGAGUCAGGACUAGGAAGAAUCACAGCCAAAAACUACUAACAGUAACUCCCAUAGCAAUGCUCUAUAUCUAAGAUGUAGAUACAUCCAUGAUAUAUACACUCUGGAGUGGUUUAUGAAGAGGCACUUAGAACCAUUCAUAAAGACAAUAAAUGAUAGUGCAAGGCAGCCGGACUCAAUGGCCAGGAGGGGAGUUAGCAGUGAGUGCUCCUGGGCAGAUACUGAGGCUGGGUGGGCAGAAAGUAUGGGAGGGGGGCUAAGGGAGCCCUCAGUGGGCCUGGGUGAUAGUGUCCUCAGAAUUUUCACUUCUGCAGUUUGACUGUCUCUAAGGGAAGUUUGGACGAUAAAGACAGCAUCUCUGGGUAAGAGGUAAGACACCAGACCAGUGUCCUUCAGGUCCGGGCCCCCCACAGAACAACAGCCGGGAAAUUGUACUGUUACUGCAGGCAGAGCAAUGAAAAUUCCAUUCCAGAAACGUGUCCCUUGGGAAUUUAGGUACUGGCCACUCGCUCACUGUUCAAUGGUAGCAGAUAUUUCAGUCGAGGCAGCUCAGUGCUUCGCAUGCAUAGACAGGCUGCUUUCCACUUUGCCACCCAAGAAGCACCUGGAAACGUGGGGUGUGUGUGUGUGUGUGUGUGUGUGUGUGUGUGUGUGUGUGUCUGUGUGUAGAGGCUACUGGUAUAAAGUGUCCAGGACCAGAGAUGCUUAAUGAAAUGCAAGCUCCGUUCCUCAGAGCCAAUAUGGACUCCACUAUAAAACAAUAUGCUUUGGACCCUGUCAAGAGGAAAUUCCCUUAAAAGAACUAAAUAUACUUUAAGUUGGUUUCAGUUUGAAUAGUUAUAUUCCAAUGUUUUCUGCUUUUAAAUUUAAAAGCUCUUAAAGUUAGAAACUACAGAUUAGCAUAAACAAAAUGAUCAAUAUAAUCCUUAUUUGUACUAUUUAUUAAUAUGUUGGUAUCUAUUAAUAUGUCAAUGUCUUUUCAUUUAUGAAAAUAAGACAAAAUUACACUAUAUUUUUAGUCAGUUCUUUUUAAUUACUGCAUUGUGAAUAAUCUUCAUUGUCUUUUGUAUAUAAUACUUAGUUGCUGCCUAAUACGGUAUUUUAUGGCUGUACCAUUGUUUAUCCUCCAUUUUUAAAUAGC
Molecule: long non-coding RNA, 1362 nt
Organism: Cebus imitator (Panamanian white-faced capuchin)
Lineage: Eukaryota; Metazoa; Chordata; Mammalia; Primates; Cebidae
Exons: 3
Source: RefSeq, a predicted model, not a curated record